Long non-coding RNA from Pristis pectinata (smalltooth sawfish), 327 nucleotides. RefSeq lists it as uncharacterized. The record is from RefSeq and is a predicted model, not a curated record. Lineage: Eukaryota; Metazoa; Chordata; Chondrichthyes; Rhinopristiformes; Pristidae. The transcript is spliced from 4 exons.
AGAGAACCAGGUUCAGUCCUGAUCUUAAGUGGUGUCUGUGUGGACUUUGCACAUUCUUCCUAUGGCUAUGUGGAUUUCCUCCAGGUACUCCUGUUUCCUCCAACAUCCCAAAGAUAUGGAUUGAUGAAAUCAAAAGCAUUUUCUUCGCUGUGGAGGAUGCAAGAUCCAUUGACCUUUAUCGAAUUUUCCUCAGGAUAAAUAUUGGCAAGGACACUGGCAGAACAAGUUUUCUUUGUAUAGUGUCACAGGAUCUGUUACGUUCACCUGAGAGGGCAGAGCGCUUUGAAUCUGAGAAACAAUUCCGAAAGGAAGAAUGCUGCUUCAGAG